This 798-nucleotide ribosomal RNA is filed under the name Triticum aestivum (bread wheat). Its description in RNAcentral is "partial small subunit ribosomal RNA". Lineage: Eukaryota; Viridiplantae; Streptophyta; Magnoliopsida; Poales; Poaceae. The record is from RNAcentral.
AUGGGUGCUACGGAGGUGCACCAAGCCUUGGAUGCUUAUUGUCAAGCUUCGGGACAACGCAUAAAUUAUGAUAAGUCCUCGAUUUAUUUCAGCAAAGGGGUUCCUGAUAGUGUUCGCCAGCAAAUCAAAGGUCUACUCCAGGUGCCCAAUGGAGCUUUGAACGAGAAGUAUCUUGGUAUGCCAAGCGAUAUAGGAACAUCUAAGAAUGGGGCCUUCAAGUAUUUGAAAGAUCGGUUGUGGAAUAAAGUUCAGGGAUGGAUUGAGAAAACCUUGUCUAUGGCAGGUAAGGAAGUAUUGGUGAAGGCGGUUGCCCAAGCAGUACCGGUCUAUUCAAUGUCUUGCUUUAAACUACCAAGAGGGCUGUGUGAGCAUUUGAACAUGUUGAUUAGAAAGUUUUGGUGGGGAAGCAAGAAUGGUCAGCGUAAGCCCCAUUGGGUGUCAUGGAAGGCAAUGACACAACCCAAAAACAUGGGUGGCUUGGGUUUUAAAGAUUUUGAACUUUUUAACUUGGCUAUGCUAGCUAAGCAAGCAUGGAGGAUUUUGCAAAAUCUUGAUUCACUGAGUGCUCGUAUCCUCAAAAGUGUCUACUUCCCGGCUUCUGCUUUCCUGGACGCUGUCCUAGGAAGUCACCCGAGCCAAAUUUGGAGGGCUGUGAUCGAAGGGAAAGAUGUAUUGAAACAGGGACUGAUCAAACGAAUCGGCAAUGGCGAAUCAACUAAUAUCUGGAAUGAAAAUUGGUUGCCACGAACAGAGAUGAUGCGACCGUAUGGAAGUAGAGUUACAAACCCGCCUGUCUAG